RNAcentral lists this transfer RNA (70 nucleotides) under Fulvivirga sediminis. Its description in RNAcentral is "Fulvivirga sp. 2943 tRNA-Pro". Lineage: Bacteria; Pseudomonadati; Bacteroidota; Cytophagia; Cytophagales; Fulvivirgaceae. The record is from RNAcentral.
GAAGAGUGUCGUAGAGAAGUCAUACUUCGUUUGGGUCGAUGGGGUCGCAGGUUCGACUCCUGCCUCACCA